Molecule: ribosomal RNA, 438 nt
Filed under: uncultured Leptolinea sp.
Lineage: Bacteria; Bacillati; Chloroflexota; Anaerolineae; Anaerolineales; Anaerolineaceae
Description: bacterial SSU rRNA
Rfam family: Bacterial small subunit ribosomal RNA
Source: RNAcentral
GCAGCGGAGCGUGUGGUUUAAUUCGAUGCUACACGAAGAACCUUACAGGGUUUGACAUGCAAGUGGUAGGAAACCGAAAGGCGACCGACCUUCGGGGAGCUUGCACAGGUGCUGCAUGGCUGUCGUCAGCUCGUGUCGUGAGAUGUUCGGUUAAGUCCGCUAACGAGCGCAACCCUCGCUGUGUGUUACAAGUGUCACACGGUACUGCCGGUCUUAAGCCGGAGGAAGGUGGGGAUGACGUCAAGUCAGCAUGGCCUUUAUGUCCUGGGCUACACACACGCUACAAUGGCCAACACAAUAGGUUGCUAAGCCGCGAGGUGGAGCCAAUCCUCAAAGUUGGUCUCAGUUCAGAUUGCAGGCUGCAACCCGCCUGCAUGAAGAUGGAGUUGCUAGUAACCGCAGGUCAGCUAUACUGCGGUGAAUACGUUCCCGGGGCUU